This is a non-coding RNA of Pantherophis guttatus, 1841 nucleotides long. The record is from RefSeq and is a predicted model, not a curated record. Lineage: Eukaryota; Metazoa; Chordata; Lepidosauria; Squamata; Colubridae.
ACCUAGUUGCUUCGUCAUUGCGUACAAUAAUUGGUCCUUUGGAGAUCCUUGCAAAUAGGUUGGGUCCUAAGCUCCUACAAUCGGAACCGUCCCUUUAAUUCAAUUGCUCCUUGUUGCGCACAUCCUCCCUGGCAUGCAGUAAGCAGCGAGCAACCCACGGUGGCCAUUGGCCCAGCAGAAAGCAGACCUUGCCUUAAACGUACUCCACCCAGUUCCUUAACUGAUUGCCGCAGAACGGCUUGGCUGCAGAAAGCAGACGGUUCUCCUUUCGGCUUCUGGUUUCUGGAACUGACGGAGAGGAUUUCAGGUUCUUCAGGAUAGUGAGAGAAAAAUAUUUGCCCAAGGCACCUGUUUCAUCAUGCAAAUUCUUCUGGGAUAUUUCCUCUUCACUGUGCUUCUAAGAACAGCCCAUCAGCUGGGACUCAGGAGGCAGCAAUAGAUUGGGGGUGAGGCCAAAUAAAAGGUGCAACUUUCCAAUGUAUCAACUGUCAGAAGGAGGGAGCUUCAACCUGCACGGACUCAUUAAAGAACUGUAACCAAGGUGAAAAUUCCUGUCUGAGGAGCCUGACCGAAAUCGUCAAAGAUGAAAAAACACAAACCAACAUAAUCCUGUCUUGUGCACCCCUUACCCACUGCAAGAAUCAGUUUAUCGAGCUGUCUUACGGGAAAGGAAUUUACGUAAGAAAACAGUACGAUUGCUGCAAAACUGACGGCUGCACCCCUCCCUCUACAAAAAUGCUUCCACUAAACACCACUAUCAACGGGAAACAUUGUCCAGUCUGCUCUUUAGAGACAGGUCACUGUUCAGAUGAUGUUCCUCUGAAAUGUACUGGAUCUGCAAUAUAUUGUUUUGAAGCUACUAUUAAAGAUGACCCAAAGAAACCCGUAAAAGGAUGUACCACAGAAUCCAUCUGUAAUAUAUUAAAAACCUACCCAGGGCCACUUAUUGGAAAUUCUGCGAUCCAGGAUGUAACCUGCCAAGAAGCCAAGAGUGAUAGCAGCUCUUCUUCUCUUGAAGUUUUCCUCCUGGCUCUUCUGCCGAUGAAGCUUUUCCUCCUUAGUGCCUAUUGAAGAAAACAUUUCUGACUGUUCACCGAGAGACAAGUUAAGUUUGGCACUCCAUUUCCUUUCCCCAGUAUGGUCAUUUGGAGAUAUUUUGAUUUUCUUUUUAUUUGAACAAGUCAAAUAAAAGUUGGACAUUAAGGAUGCCCUAAAUGUUGACAGAAGACUCACAUCGGUGUAGCUUUCUUUCUUUCUUUCUUUCUUUCUUUCUUUCUUUCUUUCUUUCUUUCUUUCCUUUCUUUCUUUCUUUCUUUCUUUCUUUUCUUUUAUUGUUUUUUUAAAAUAUAUUUUUAUUGUUCACAUAUUAAUAUAUUGGAUACAGUGCAGUUGUCCUGGCGUUCCACUUGCCAUGAAACAAAAGUAAAAUAACAUAUAUGUUAUUUUAAACAGUGCUAGUUUGUACAGUUAUUUCUGACCAUCAUAUUCUAGAAUGUCCAGCUUAUCUAUCAUUCUAAUAUCUACGUUCUAAUACAUACAUAGUGUCUCUUUCCAUGUCCACCUAACCUGAUUCUUUCGCAUUCCAACUUCUACCUCGUGUAUCCCAUGUAGCAUAAUAUUCUGUAUCUCCUUUAUGUUUUAUAAUUAGCGUUAGGUCUGUCCAUUUCUGCACAUACCAGUAUCUUCCUUAUCGUCUCCUCCUCUGAGGGAGUGUUUUCGCACUUCCACUGCUGCGCAUACACAAUUCUUGCUGCGGUCAAGAUGUGUAAUAUUAGGUAUAUUGUCAUCCCUUUAUUAUAACCAUCUGAUAUAAUGCCUAAUAAAAAUAAUUCUGGCUUAAA